Molecule: ribosomal RNA, 1351 nt
Filed under: Parasutterella excrementihominis
Lineage: Bacteria; Pseudomonadati; Pseudomonadota; Betaproteobacteria; Burkholderiales; Sutterellaceae
Description: bacterial SSU rRNA
Rfam family: Bacterial small subunit ribosomal RNA
Source: RNAcentral
UAAUACCGCAUAGUAUCGAAAGAUUAAAGCAGCAAUGCGCUUGGGGAUGGGCUCGCGGCCUAUUAGUUAGUUGGUGAGGUAACGGCUCACCAAGGCGAUGACGGGUAGCCGGUCUGAGAGGAUGUCCGGCCACACUGGAACUGAGACACGGUCCAGACACCUACGGGUGGCAGCAGUCGAGAAUCAUUCACAAUGGGGGAAACCCUGAUGGUGCGACGCCGCGUGGGGGAAUGAAGGUCUUCGGAUUGUAAACCCCUGUCAUGUGGGAGCAAAUUAAAAAGAUAGUACCACAAGAGGAAGAGACGGCUAACUCUGUGCCAGCAGCCGCGGUAAUACAGAGGUCUCAAGCGUUGUUCGGAAUCACUGGGCGUAAAGCGUGCGUAGGCUGUUUCGUAAGUCGUGUGUGAAAGGCGCGGGCUCAACCCGCGGACGGCACAUGAUACUGCGAGACUAGAGUAAUGGAGGGGGAACCGGAAUUCUCGGUGUAGCAGUGAAAUGCGUAGAUAUCGAGAGGAACACUCGUGGCGAAGGCGGGUUCCUGGACAUUAACUGACGCUGAGGCACGAAGGCCAGGGGAGCGAAAGGGAUUAGAUACCCCUGUAGUCCUGGCAGUAAACGGUGCACGCUUGGUGUGCGGGGAAUCGACCCCCUGCGUGCCGGAGCUAACGCGUUAAGCGUGCCGCCUGGGGAGUACGGUCGCAAGAUUAAAACUCAAAGAAAUUGACGGGGACCCGCACAAGCGGUGGAGUAUGUGGCUUAAUUCGAUGCAACGCGAAGAACCUUACCUGGGCUUGACAUGUAAUGAACAACAUGUGAAAGCAUGCGACUCUUCGGAGGCGUUACACAGGUGCUGCAUGGCCGUCGUCAGCUCGUGUCGUGAGAUGUUUGGUUAAGUCCAGCAACGAGCGCAACCCCUGUUGCCAGUUACCAGCACGUGAAGGUGGGGACUCUGGCGAGACUGCCCAGAUCAACUGGGAGGAAGGUGGGGACGACGUCAGGUCAGUAUGGCCCUUAUGCCCAGGGCUGCACACGUACUACAAUGCCCAGUACAGAGGGGGCCGAAGCCGCGAGGCGGAGGAAAUCCUGAAAACUGGGCCCAGUUCGGACUGUAGGCUGCAACCCGCCUACACGAAGCCGGAAUCGCUAGUAAUGGCGCAUCAGCUACGGCGCCGUGAAUACGUUCCCGGGUCUUGUACACACCGCCCGUCACAUCAUGGAAGCCGGUCGCACCCGAAGUAUCUGAAGCCAACCGCAAGGAGGCAGGGUCCUAAGGUGAGACUGGUAACUGGGAUGAAGUCGUAACAAGGUAGCCGUAGGGGAACCUGCGGCUGGAUCACCUCCUUUCUAUGGA